Long non-coding RNA from Thalassophryne amazonica, 418 nucleotides. RefSeq lists it as uncharacterized. The record is from RefSeq and is a predicted model, not a curated record. The transcript has 3 exons. NCBI's taxonomy places the organism in Eukaryota, Metazoa, Chordata, Actinopteri, Batrachoidiformes, Batrachoididae.
GCUUGGCUCCAUGCAUACGCACACUUCGACACAUCUGAAGUGUUUGAAUUACUGAUUUUCACAGAUCUGGCAACUUGCUUCUGACGGAUCGUUUGUUGCUGUGACGCCACUCUGAACUUCAUACCGCUCUUAUCAUGACUUUGGUCACUCCUACGGAUCGAGCUAUGUGGCGGCUCCUGAUGGCAGCAGAACUCCUGGACUCUCCAGAACCCAAGACAGGUUGUUGGUGGUCGAACUGGAUCUCAACCUGAACCGACAAAUCAGUGACAAGUGGAGUUUUAAGAUGACUGGGAGGUAUGCUGAAUAUGUGGAGGAACUCGCCAAGGCUUUCAGACACGACUUCAAGCCAAAUAUAGUGAAGGAGUAAUAUUUAAAAAAAAACAAAAAAACAUGUAAGCAACAUGUAUCACAAUUAAAU